CCAGCGCCCCGGAAGCCGAGACGACCUGUUUUCCGCCUGCUGGGGAAGGAAUUGCCACCGAGAUCGGACACGGUAGGGGAGGUUGUUUACACGGCGUAAAGUGAGGCCGAGUUCCGGCCACCCAGCAGGGGACAUGAGCCAGAAUGAAGAUAGUAGUGGUGUAUAUGCAUUUGGGUGCAGCAGUAACUAACUCAUCAAGGGCAAAGUCAGUAUAUGAGCUCUUUUAAAGGAGAACACGUGGUUUCCAUGUUCUGAGCUUCUGAGAUUGUGAAGGCAUAACUCCUUUGAUUUGCUUACAGCCAAGUGGAGUUGCACAGCUCAUGGUGGCAGUAUAGCCACUUAAGUAUUCUAAAGGAGAUUUAUCAGCAGGUUGCAGGUGAACAUGGCCUUGAGGUAAAUCCUGCCCCUUGUGAAAUUUAGUUUCAGCAGAUUGUUCUUGGCAUCUUAAGGAAUUAGAAUAUUUUACAAACAAUCAAAAGUUUUGUUUUGGUUCUUUUUUAGACUUGCUUUUGCUUCUUGUAGAAGAUGAGAAACAUGUUUAAACAAAGGUUCUUUAUGCUGAAUAAAUAGGUUGCUUGAA
This is a long non-coding RNA of Phacochoerus africanus (Common warthog), 580 nucleotides long. RefSeq lists it as uncharacterized. Lineage: Eukaryota; Metazoa; Chordata; Mammalia; Artiodactyla; Suidae. The record is from RefSeq and is a predicted model, not a curated record. The transcript is spliced from 4 exons.